This 297-nucleotide signal recognition particle RNA is filed under the name Agrilus planipennis (emerald ash borer). Its description in RNAcentral is "Metazoan signal recognition particle RNA". It matches the Rfam family "Metazoan signal recognition particle RNA". From Rfam's summary of the family: The signal recognition particle (SRP) is a universally conserved ribonucleoprotein. Lineage: Eukaryota; Metazoa; Arthropoda; Insecta; Coleoptera; Buprestidae. The record is from Rfam by way of RNAcentral.
ACUGGGAGUUUGGCAAGCUCCUGUAACCCAGCUACUUGGGGGUCGGGUUCUGUGGAUGGCUUGAGGUCGGGAGUCCUGGGAUAGCAUUACUCACGUUGACUGGGUGUCCGCACUAAGCUCGGCAUCAAUAUGGACAUCUCGGAGGAGUCCGAGAUGGCCAGGUUGGCCAAGGAGGGGCGAACCGGGCCAGGAGGGAAACCUAGCAGCCAAAAGUCCCCGUGUCGAGCAGUAGUGGGAUCGCGCCCGGGAGUGAGGAUGUUAUAACAGCCCGAUCAAAACAGCUAGACCAAAACCUUU